RNAcentral lists this ribosomal RNA (799 nucleotides) under uncultured archaeon. Its description in RNAcentral is "bacterial SSU rRNA". It matches the Rfam family "Archaeal small subunit ribosomal RNA", at positions 104 to 903 of the family's 1478-position model. The record is from RNAcentral.
UCAAUCUAACCUAUGGACGGGGAUAACCUCGGGAAACUGAGGAUAAUACCCGAUAGAUCAUAAUGCCUGGAACGGUUUAUGGUCCAAAUGAUUCGUCGCCGUAGGGUGGGACUGCGGCCUAUCAGCUUGUUGGUGAGGUAAUGGCCCACCAAGGCUAUUACAGGUACGGGCUCUGAGAGGAGAAGCCCGGAGAUGGGUACUGAGACACGGACCCAGGCCCUAUGGGGCGCAGCAGGCGAGAAACCUUUGCAAUGUGCGCAAGCACGACAAGGUUAAUCCGAGUGUUUCCUGCUAAAGGAAUCUUUUGUUAGUUCUAAAACCACUAUUGAAUAAGGGGUGGGCAAGUCCUGGUGUCAGCCGCCGCGGUAAAACCAGCACCUCAAGUGGUCAGGAUGAUUAUUGGGCCUAAAGCAUCCGUAGCCUGUUUUGUAAGUUUCCGGUUAAAUCCAUUAGCUCAACUAAUGGGCUGCCGAAAAUACUGCAAAACUAGUGGAGUGGGAGAGGUAGACGGUACUCGGUAGGAAGGGGUAAAAUCCUUUGAUCUAUUGAUGACCACCUGUGGCGAAGGCGGUCUACCAGAACACGUUCGACGGUGAGGGAUGAAAGCUGGGGGAGCAAACCGGAUUAGAUACCCGGGUAGUCCCAGCUGUAAACGAUGCAGACUCGGUGAUGCCCUGGCUUGUGGCCAGUGCAGUGCCGCAGGGAAGCCGUUAAGUUUGCCGCCUGGGAAGUACGUACGCAAGUAUGAAACUUAAAGGAAUUGGCGGGGGAGCACCACAAGGGGUGAAGCCUGCGGUUC